Molecule: long non-coding RNA, 1958 nt
Organism: Equus caballus (horse)
Lineage: Eukaryota; Metazoa; Chordata; Mammalia; Perissodactyla; Equidae
Source: Ensembl
GGAAGUUAGGAUCGGCUUCCCCGCCUUCCCUCCAGACUGCCUGUCUCUCCAGAAGGAAGCUUGUGUGAGGACGUGGAGCUGUAGGAGCCCUCAGCUGGGCCUCUGCUUUCUUCUCUGAGAAGCCCAGCCUGGCCCCAGGAGAAGGAGCUGGAAAACUUCAGGCCUGGCUUGGGCUGCCAUGAGGAAAGUGGAUAAGGCUGCAGCCCGGAUUGUUUCCUGGAGACGACGAUCGUGGAGAUGGUUAUGCCUGACCUUUGUACAGCACUUCACAGUUGGCACAGAGUUUCCGCAUGUGCCGUACCGUCACAACGCUGUGUUUUGGGAAGCACAGAGCACCUGCCACGUGUCAGGGAGCUCACCACUGCCGAGAGGAGGAGACCCCACAAAUGCAGGCCACUGCAGUUCAGUGGACGAGAGGCAUGAUCAGGAACAGGCUGCUCCAGCAGCAUCAAGUUACUCUGCCAAUAACCUCCCAGAGGGAGUGACUCAGCAGCUGACCAAAAAGAUAAGUCGGAGGGACACAGGCAAAGGGAGCAAGAGGACAGGGCUCGGGCUCGAGGACGCCUCACCUGCAAAGACCACGAUGCAAAGAGCCAUGCAAAGGGCUUGCAUAUGCUGCUUCCUACUGUGUGUCAGGCCCCAUGUGAGGUAUUGGAGUGCAGAGCUGAAUAAGACACAGUCUGGCCCUCACGGAGCCUACAGCCUGAGUGGAGGAGCCCAGGACACGAGCCCACCCCAGGAGUGGUUCUUGGCACCUCCUCCAAGAAGCCCUCACUGCUGACUCCACCACCCAGUUACUCCAUCUCCCAGAUCGCAUGGAAUCCCACGUCCAACCGCAGAAGCAUCCUUCAUCAGGCCCAUUUUCGAGCACCUGUAGUUGGCAGACCUCCAGAAUUAACACUUAUGAUAGGUCCAUGGCUCUUCACAGCUGCUGAAAAAGCCCCAUAUCCUCAGCUUGUUUCCAUCGUGGUGUGCUCCCACGAGCCCUCCCGGGCUGCUCUCCCACUGUGUCCUGCCCCACUCACCACCGACACACUGGCUUGUGCCCUGUCGUGCCUGAAGACCACCUUUCCUGGCACACCCAGGACCACCGCUGAGCCCACUGCCUGGGACACCAGGAAGGCAUCAUCUCCACCUGUAGAUGUUGGUCAAACGGCUCAGACACCUCCCCCGCCCCCUGUCUGCCCCAGAGCUGCUGGUCGGAUGUGCUCCGUGUCCUGCAUUUUAUUCGUGUUUUCCGAGCGUUAGCCCUGCUGCAUCCACGUCUCCUUCCCCACCCCCUGUCCACUGUACGCCCCACAAUGGUGAUUCUCAAGCUCCAUGUGGAGGAAAGAGCAGUGUUUUUUUGCUUAGUUUUUGUUUUUGUAAAUUUUCAAUUCAUUGCAGACUAAUGACUUUGCAAAAUAAAAUGACAUUUUUAAAAAACAAAGAUAUAUACACAACGUAAGCCUUAGUUAUUUUAUCAUUAGUUUCAAAUUGCUGUAACGAUCUGUAAACCCUUACUCUUGGCUUCUGUACUUUGUGCGUCUGUGGCAGUAGUGGUUUUCAGGUCGCCCUUGAAGAAGCAGAAGGCCCUGCAUGUGGUCAGCGCUGGACACCCCUGAUGGGAUCCAGUGGAAACUUCCCGCCUGUGCUCUCGCUGAUGUCCGAGGGGAUGCACAGAGGACAUCUCUGUGGAAGAGCCCUCAGAAGGAGGACACCCCCUCUGUGGUGACGCUGGCAGGCAUUUUUGGGUGUGGGUCCCCAUUCUGUCUAAGUUGCUUCAUGACCCUGGACAUGUUACCUGAAUGUGGCCUUGACCUGAAGCUAGACGAAGGUUCUUGAACUCUUUUGUGUCGUGGACCUCAUCGAUAGUGGGGGAGGCAUGUGGAUCCCUUCUCAGAACGUUUUAAUGUUUAAUGUUUUAAAUGCAGAAAAUGAAAACCACAGGAUUUCAAAGGAAAUCAAUUAUACUCAAG